RNAcentral lists this ribosomal RNA (264 nucleotides) under uncultured bacterium. RNAcentral describes it as "partial 16S ribosomal RNA". It matches the Rfam family "Bacterial small subunit ribosomal RNA", at positions 793 to 1055 of the family's 1533-position model. The record is from RNAcentral.
GUCCACGCCGUAAACGAUGGAUACUAUGUGUGGGAGGUAUUGACCCCUUCCGUGCCGCAGUUAACACAAUAAGUAUCCCACCUGGGGAGUACGGCCGCAAGGUUGAAACUCAAAGGAAUUGACGGGGGCCCGCACAAGCAGUGGAGUAUGUGGUUUAAUUCGAAGCAACGCGAAGAACCUUACCAGGUCUUGACAUCCCGAUGACCGCCUUAGAGAUAAGGCUUUUCUUCGGAACAUCGGUGACAGGUGGUGCAUGGUUGUCGU